AGCUCCAAUAGCGUAUAUUAAAGUUGUUGCGGUUAAAAAGCUCGUAGUUGGAUUUCUGUUGAGAACAGGCGGUCCACCUUUUGGGUGAGUAUCUGCAUUGGUCUCGGCAUCUUCUUGGGUGACGUGUCUGCGCUUGGUUGCGUGGUACGGGGCUCAGGACUUUUACUUGAGGAAAUUAGAGUGUUCACGGCAGGCAUACGCCUUGAAUAUAUUAGCAUGGAAUAAUACUAUAGGAUCUUGGUUCUAUUUUGUUGGUUUCUAGAGCUAAGAUAAUGAUUAAUAGGGACAAUUGGGGGCAUUCGUAUU
Molecule: ribosomal RNA, 306 nt
Filed under: uncultured eukaryote
Lineage: Eukaryota
Description: SSU rRNA
Rfam family: Eukaryotic small subunit ribosomal RNA
Source: RNAcentral